Sinocyclocheilus anshuiensis is the source of this 117-nucleotide ribosomal RNA. Lineage: Eukaryota; Metazoa; Chordata; Actinopteri; Cypriniformes; Cyprinidae. The record is from Ensembl.
GCCAGCAGCCAUAUCACCCCGCAGCCCAAUACUGGUUGCACACUGAAGCAAAGCAGGGUUGAGCCUGGUCAGUACCUGGAUGGGAGACCUCCUGGGAAAACUAGGUUGCUACUGGAA